CGCUUCUGUGUUCCCGACUCAGUCUGGCCUGUUUGUGUUUCUAGAGAGCGUGGAGGGGGAGCGGGGAGGUGGGCUUUGUGUUCACAGCGCACUGACACAAGCUUCACUCGAGGCCUUUGAUGUCGGAGCCCUUGCCCUCAUGCGCAUGCUGUUCAUGUUUGAGAAGGGGAAGUUCCAUGAUCUGAUUAACACUGAUGGCUCUUUAAAAGGGCUCAACUAUCUCUGACUUCUGAUCCUGGCGUUCUUGCCCCGUUGUGAAUUUCCUCUCGUGAGUCCAUCGCUGCGAGGGAGCGAGAGAGGGGAGAAUGAGGCGUUUGUUUGUGUGAGCUUGCGUUGCAUCUUGAGUUGACUAGAACACACUGUGGUUGCGAGUGUUCUGGAUGCCACUCUGUCUGGUGCUUUCCUCUCUGACUGUGAGUGUGAAGGUCAUGUCAUGUCCGUUCUCUCCGUCUUUCAUUCCCUCCUGCUCUCUCUCUCUCUCUCGCGUGCUUUCUCUCACUCUUCACUCCCUGUCUCUUUCUUUCUUUCUUUCUUUCUUUCUCUCUCUCUCUCUUUCUUUCUCUCACUCUUCAUCCCCCGUCUUUCCUUUAUAAUGAUGGUGUUAGAUUCAAUUUAAUUUGACCCUCAUAGCACAUUAAAAAUAAAGCAUUGAGCACUUAUAAGCAUGAUUUCAAAGGACUUCACAUUUGGGGCCAAACAGCCCCCCUCAAUCAAUACACAUUGAGAAGCUCCCUUUGAAAAAGAAAAAACUUUAGUUGGAAUGUGGUCAAAGGUGCCCCUAUUAACCAACACAGUCUGCACACUUAGUUCAAUUCCCUUUUAUUGACAUAGAACCAAUAACAAUUAAAAUUGUGUAAAGGUGGUUUACAGAGCAUAGAACCUGAAUCCCCAGGGGCAUUCAAUUAAAAUUCAAAGAGGUCUAGUUAGAGAAAAUGACCUCAAGUAAAAGUCUAGAACAUCCUAAUGUCUCACUUGCAUUAUGAUUCAGUGCAAUAUAUAUAUUGAAGUAGCCCAGUAGUUAGAUAGCAUCUAAUCUAGUCAACAGCUGACUGUCAAAUCAUACAAAAAAGUACUAUUCAAUUCAAUUAUAUUAUAUGUUUUUGUAAAAUACUGUAAUGAUAAAUGUUAUUUCAUUGUUGUUAACUCAAUGUCACAUCUUAACAGUCCCAGUACCCACAACUUUGGCAGAGAAAACAGCACAUUAAAAGGUCACAAGACAAGGUUAACAAGGUAUAAAAAGAUCUCAAUGAAGGACAACAUUCUUUGCUAGUUUUCUGAUUCUUGUAAUGAUCACUAUAACAUGCUUUCAAAGCUAUUAAAAGUAGAGUUCAAAGUUCUCACAGCACUGACUUGCAACUUUUUCCAUGGCUGCAGUUCAUGACAGGCCAAAAGCUCCUAUCCCCAACCCUGUUUACCAUUGCUCUUUUCAAAACACUUCUGAAUGAAUAACAUGAAUAACUGUAUGAUUGAACAGUAUGAGUAUGAAUAACACAAUGUUAUUGACUGAAUAUGUGAGACAAAAUUUCAAUCAAUUCGAUCAAUGCCCCCAGAAUAAAUAACAUAUUGUUUCUAUUUUUAGCACUCAUGCACAAUGCAGCAAUGCCUGAGUGAAUGACAACCUGGAACAAUAGUCAUUUUGCAUCAUAAACAGUGUCCAUUUUUUCCUAGCACUCACCUUAUUUUCUGUGGAAAAUUCUUUACAUUUGUAAAAAUCUUAACCCUAAAUAAAUAAAUAACCAGCCAAAGUGAAUUUAACACGGGGAAGCGGAUACUUCUAAGGCAACUGAACAGCUUUAACACCUAAUUUUCUCUUCAUUUCCCUCUAAUAUCCCACAGGGCUGUUCUCAUAUACAUGUGUAGGUGCUCAUUGGUGAGCCUGGAACAGUGUUUGGUUUUUUAUAAUGUUAAUUGUGGAGAAAGACGCCUAACGGCUGUAUGAGGAGCCGAACAUGGUCAAAAUGUCAACUCCUCUGAGGAAUUCCCUGAGCAUGCAAUGCUGAUGGGAAGAGGAUGCCUGAGAAAGUGAAUCAUUCUCAUCGUUAUGUUCAUCACCUCGGCAUACUUGUCUGACAGGGUGGGAGCACAGGGCCAAUUGAGAAUUAUGCAGUGGUAAGAGUGAUAAGGGAGCAGCUCCAUCUGGGGUUAUAGAAAUCACUUUUUCAUCUCUAUUCCCCACUUCAUUUAACAUCUGCUUCAUGGCCAUGUAGAUGUACUCUUGUACUGGUCUGAAGGGGUGUAACACCUAACAUGUCUUCACAAAACUUUCUUCUCCUAGUUGAAGAACCUUACAUAAACUAACAGCUCAGCAUGGUCAGAUACAUCAGUGGACUGGGCUAGCACAUCCUGGGUUUCAGUUUUCUUUGUAGUUGAUGAUGCUGACAUAAGUAUUUGUUUAUUCCUUUUUACAAAACUCUUCUUUUUGUUUUCCUUCAAGUGAGGUUUCAGCGUACUCAUGCUUGACACUCCCUCCGUCAGUACAUGUUAGGUAGUACAAGAGCGAUAGGAGGAGAGGAGGAGAAGAGAGAAUCAAAAGCAAGCAGAUGCACGCAUCAGGAUAAAACACAUUACCAUACAUACGGCAUAUGUCAUGAUGCAUACAAUAUUGAUAGUGGAUAUAAACGGAGAGAGCCAGCGUUUAGAGUAUUGGUUGGAGAACAGUUCAGUGGGUAUGCAGUGUGCUCAGAAGGUUACUCUCAUAAGGAUGAGCAGAUAUAGAAGAAUGGAUCAGAAGGAUGUUUGUUUAUGUUAGGAGUAAAUAGGCUGGCACACAAUAUGUAUAGAGCAGAGUAGAAAUUGUGCUUACAGCACUCAAUGUAUAUUUACAGAACAGAGUAUUGCCCAUAUGUAGGUAGUUACAGCACUCAAUGUAUAUUUACAGAACAGAGUAUUGCCCAUAUGUAGGUAGUUACAGCACUAAAUGUAUAUUUACAGAACAGAGUAUUGCCCAUAUGUAGGUAGUUACAGCACUAAAUGUAUAUUUACAGAACAGAGUAUUGCCCAUAUGUAGGUAGUUACAGCACUAAAUGUAUAUUUACAGAACAGAGUAUUGCCCAUAUGUAGGUAGUUACAGCACUAAAUGUAUAUUUACAGAACAGAGUAUUGCCCAUAUGUAGGUAGUUACAGCACUAAAUGUAUAUUUACAGAACAGAGUAUUGCCCAUAUGUAGGUCGUGAAACAUUGGCAUGAUGUAGCUUAACAAACUCUGCCAUCAUCAGGGAUGAUCAGCACGUUUCCAUAGGGACCAGUAUAGGUCUGGGGUGUGGGCCAUGCUCUGGUAGCGGACUGCAUCGCUAUUAUUUUGGGACAGGAUUAGACCUGAGAAGAUAUAGUGAGCAAAAAUGCUUCAAAUAUUGGAGAGGGGAAUUUAGAUCUCUGAUCUUAAUGAACUUAAUGGUCAUACUCAUCAGUUUUGACCUUAAUGAAUGCGGAUGAAGAAUGUUGUUACUAGGCAAAAGAAAGCAAAAGGAACAUCCAAAUGAAACAUAAAGACAAAAUGUUUAAGAGUGCACAUCAAUAACGGAUACAAAUAUGAAUACAUACAAGUUUUAGAGCUUAAUCAUAGAGAGAAAUGUUUUUAACCUGCUUUACUAUGUAAGCAAUGGAGUAGUCAGUUUGUCAUUACAUUUCUUCUGCCAAUUCAGAUAUGGACAUGGAUAGACAAAUGGGUAAAUAGUCCUCAUGGGAUCGAAACUUCAGAGAUGAAGUACUAUAUCCGUUUUCAUGAGAGUCAUACUAAACAUCCCAGAGCUCUCAGGGGUGAAUUGACUGGGACAUAAUAAUGUAGGUCAUUCUGACCUUUAUGUCAAUAAAGUGUGUGUGUGUGUGUCUUAUGACAGCAUGUUGGGAUUGUGUGUGCGUGCGCGUACUGGCACAAUCAAGCACAUGUUGCUCACAUUCAUUGGUUUUGUAAUACAUUGAGGUGAAGGACAUAUUUCCCCUGGUGAGAAGUUGAUGGUUGUUGUGGUUAUUGGCUGUUGAGGAAAUUACAGAGAGAUGGGUUUGAUGUCUGUGCAGAUUUAAUCAUCUCACUAUGGAGGUUGGAGCAGGGCAGAGUGACGGGGAAAGAAAGAGAGCCUGAGACACAGUAGGUGUGUGUGCAGACCUCCAUACUUUGGUGCAGAUUGCUUCCCUCACACUCAUGAAUACAAAUGACUCGCUCAUGGCGUCAGGGGGGAUGUUGUAACCAGGGACGUCCUUGUGGUGUGCCCAGUUCAUCAUGGCAGGAACAUUAAGCCAGGAGUAGGAUGAUGAUUAUAAUUGCGAUCUCUACUCUGUGUGAGACAUUGAGGUUUAGUGGGGUGGGUGGGUGUGUGUGUGUGUGUGUGUGUGUGUGUGUGUGUGUGUGUGUGUGUGUGUGUUUGUGUUGACAGGUCAGUGCUUCUUGAGUAUGGUGCGAUACAAUCCUCUUAUGUAUCAACAUCUUGGCUUUGGAAAUUCAUAUUUUUCCCCUUAUUUUUUGAAAGGACUGGAAAUGGGGGGAAAUGAGUGAAUUCUCUCUCACACAUAUUUUCUCUUUCUCUCUCUCUUGUUAUUUUUCUUUCUUCCCCUGUCUGUCUCUCAUAUUUCAUUUCUGGCUCCAGGAGUGGAACAGUUGUAUAAUUCUGUGUACAGUAGCCCAACAUUCUCCAUUGUUUAGAACUUCAGAAUGCUCCCACACUUCUCUCUGGCCUUGUUAUGGUGGGUCUGAUUUCCUAACUGCGUGCUCACUGGAUAACUAUUGGGGAAGUUGGCUAGAAUGUUUUUUAAGUCUGAUGCUUGCUUUCCCCCUCUAGGUUCAGCAAACAGCCUCUUGGUACAAACACAGUGAUUUUCAUGAUUGUUGUCUUGGCCAACUCAAAUAUCCAAAAGCUUUGUUUGGUUUAUCAAGACUUCAGAAGUAAUGUUGGGUAUUCAGGUGUGAUACACCCAGAUUGUGCUUCUUCUGUUCAGUGGAGGGUAUUUUUUCAGGAGUUAAAAAAGAAACAGAAGGGGGAAUGGGUGACUGUAGAUGUUGUUGAUGUGAAUAACUGCUGCAAUUAGAUAGCUUGAUAGACUUCAUUUCAUAAUUUCAUGGUACAUUUGAGGUUCAUCGUCUCAUCUUCCAUGAGUGUCUGAGUUGACUAAUCCUGUUCAGGGGGCGAUGAAUCCUAAUUUUUUGUAGCUUUCCCACUGGGCAAAUUAAGAGAUGUGAGAUCAGUAUCAGAUAUAUACGUAGAUAAUACAUUAUUUUUCUUAUUUAUGUAUCUAUAUAUUAGUGCUGUCAGUUUAAUGCGUUAUUAACGGCGUUAACGCAAACCCAUUUUAACGCCGUUCAUUUUUUUAUCGCGA
This is a long non-coding RNA of Clupea harengus (Atlantic herring), 5307 nucleotides long. The record is from Ensembl. Lineage: Eukaryota; Metazoa; Chordata; Actinopteri; Clupeiformes; Clupeidae.